AAAUUGAAGAGUUUGAUCAUGGCUCAGAUUGAACGCUGGCGGCAGGCCUAACACAUGCAAGUCGAACGGUAACAGGAAACAGCUUGCUGUUUCGCUGACGAGUGGCGGACGGGUGAGUAAUGUCUGGGAAACUGCCUGAUGGAGGGGGAUAACUACUGGAAACGGUAGCUAAUACCGCAUAACGUCGCAAGACCAAAGAGGGGGACCUUCGGGCCUCUUGCCAUCGGAUGUGCCCAGAUGGGAUUAGCUAGUAGGUGGGGUAACGGCUCACCUAGGCGACGAUCCCUAGCUGGUCUGAGAGGAUGACCAGCCACACUGGAACUGAGACACGGUCCAGACUCCUACGGGAGGCAGCAGUGGGGAAUAUUGCACAAUGGGCGCAAGCCUGAUGCAGCCAUGCCGCGUGUAUGAAGAAGGCCUUCGGGUUGUAAAGUACUUUCAGCGGGGAGGAAGGGAGUGAAGUUAAUACCUUUGCUCAUUGACGUUACCCGCAGAAGAAGCACCGGCUAACUCCGUGCCAGCAGCCGCGGUAAUACGGAGGGUGCAAGCGUUAAUCGGAAUUACUGGGCGUAAAGCGCACGCAGGC
This 586-nucleotide ribosomal RNA is filed under the name Escherichia coli. RNAcentral describes it as "bacterial SSU rRNA". It matches the Rfam family "Bacterial small subunit ribosomal RNA", at positions 1 to 576 of the family's 1533-position model. Lineage: Bacteria; Pseudomonadati; Pseudomonadota; Gammaproteobacteria; Enterobacterales; Enterobacteriaceae. The record is from RNAcentral.